This 383-nucleotide ribosomal RNA is filed under the name uncultured bacterium. RNAcentral describes it as "bacterial SSU rRNA". It matches the Rfam family "Bacterial small subunit ribosomal RNA", at positions 28 to 404 of the family's 1533-position model. The record is from RNAcentral.
GACGAACGCUGGCGGCGUGCCUAACACAUGCAAGUGGAGCGACGAACCAGGGCUUGCCCUGGGGCCAAGCCGCGAACGGGUGAGUAACACGUGGGUAACCUGCCCAGAUGACCGGGACAACCCGAGGAAACUCGGGCUAAUACCGGAUGUGACCCUCACACAUCAGUGUGAGGACCAAAGGAAGCUUCGGCCUCCGCAUCUGGAGGGGCCCGCGGCCCAUUAGCUUGUUGGUGAGGUAAUGGCUCACCAAGGCCAUGAUGGGUAGCUGGUCUGAGAGGACGAUCAGCCACACUGGGACUGAGACACGGCCCAGACUCCUACGGGAGGCAGCAGUGGGGAAUCUUGCGCAAUGCGCGAAAGCGUGACGCAGCAACGCCGCGUGA